UACGUAGGACCCAAGCGUUAUCCGGAAUUACUGGGCGUAAAGAGUUGCGUAGGUGGCACUGUAAGUGGAGCGUGAAAGCGUGCGGCUCAACCGCAUUACUGCGUUCCAAACUGCAGAGCUUGAGUAUGAGAGAGGUUAUUGGAAUUUCCAGCGUAGGAGUGAAAUCCGUAGAUAUUGGAAGGAACACCGAUGGCGUAGGCAGAUAACUGGCUCAUUACUGACACUAAGGCACGAAAGCGUGGGGAGCAAACGGG
Molecule: ribosomal RNA, 254 nt
Filed under: uncultured bacterium
Lineage: Bacteria
Description: partial 16S ribosomal RNA
Rfam family: Bacterial small subunit ribosomal RNA
Source: RNAcentral